This 360-nucleotide transfer-messenger RNA is filed under the name Candidatus Chloroploca asiatica. Its description in RNAcentral is "Chloroploca asiatica Standard tmRNA". It matches the Rfam family "transfer-messenger RNA". From Rfam's summary of the family: Bacterial tmRNA, also known as 10Sa RNA or SsrA, is named for its dual tRNA and mRNA-like properties. Its role is to liberate the mRNA from a stalled ribosome. Lineage: Bacteria; Bacillati; Chloroflexota; Chloroflexia; Chloroflexales; Oscillochloridaceae. The record is from Rfam by way of RNAcentral.
GGGGAUGACUGGUAUCGACAGGGAGUGAAGGUCGUAGAUUGCAAGCCGUGACGCCCAGUCACGUAAAAAGGGCAAUGCCAAUAACUGGCAACAACAGCUACUCGGGCCGCAUGGCCCUCGCUGCCUAAAAAUAGGUAGUGCGCCCUCACUGACUCGCUCGAUGGUCAGUGACCCGGCGUCAACAAGUCGAGUGCUCCCUGGGUGACCACCUGCUGGCCCGGGGAAAAGAUAAGCGGGUUUGCCCAAAGACUGCUUUGCUACUUGUGCAGGCGCGGGCGAGCUACGAACAAAUGGCUAAGCUUGUAGGAUAUCUGCGGCGUAGCUUUCUGGACGGGGGUUCGAAUCCCCCCAUCUCCACCA